UGGGGUUUGCGAAUACCCCGUGAGGCGAUGGCCCAAAUUCGC
Molecule: non-coding RNA, 42 nt
Filed under: Roseibium sp. TrichSKD4
Lineage: Bacteria; Pseudomonadati; Pseudomonadota; Alphaproteobacteria; Hyphomicrobiales; Stappiaceae
Source: RNAcentral